This is a long non-coding RNA of Papaver somniferum (opium poppy), 2392 nucleotides long. RefSeq lists it as uncharacterized. The record is from RefSeq and is a predicted model, not a curated record. The transcript has 2 exons. NCBI's taxonomy places the organism in Eukaryota, Viridiplantae, Streptophyta, Magnoliopsida, Ranunculales, Papaveraceae.
UCUAUGGAUGCUGUGAGAGUGGUGCUAACUGCACGCCGACCGGAUAACGAGGUAUAAUGGAGUCCUUUGGAGCAAAAGAAGGAGACAACUUCCAUUUGGAGCGUAAAGAGCAAAAAUAUCAAUUCACAUGCGAGCUACACUUGGAGCGAGCUAAGGUGCGCGAGAUAGAGGUGAAGAAUGAACUGCCAGUUUCUCAAAACUGACAAAGGAAUUAGGUUGUCGGUUCUCCGAAGCCGAUAAGCCAUAUAUGAGCUUGGUGGCCUAUAUUUCUGCUGGGUGCCUAUAGAAGUCUUGGCUAUUACCUAGCCCUGAAAUUCAGAGAAGCAUUCAUUCUCUUGUAUUAUUUUCUCUUACCUACUCCACCUGAAACUGAGAUGGCGGCAUAAUCUUUCCGAGAAAUCGAGAGAUUCAGAGAAAUCGGUGGUAGUGAAACAAGCUGCUGCUGCAGAUUGAACGAGGAUCUGAUGAGUUCCAAGGCUGAGAAGAUCAAGGAUUGUUUUCUGUUCAGAUGGGGUUUUUGUGAUGAAUUUCUGAAGCUGAGACUCUCAGAUAGGGUUUGAUGCUGAGUUGGAUGGAGAAGCUCGAGAAAUGGAUUUGAUGUGGUUGUGUUACUGAAACUCAGGAAGAAUUGAAGAUUGUGGAUGAGAGUUUCUGAAAUUGUGUUAGAAAUGGAGUUUACUGAUGGUGCUAAGCAAAGACAAGGAGAAAUUGAAAGGGUUUCUGUGAGAAAGAAGAUCUGAGAAAGUCGAGUCUGCUACUGUGGAUGAAGAAUAAUGAAGAAAUUUGGGUUUUAGCAGAAAUUGAAGUUAGGGUUUGUCAAGAUGAUGAUACUGUGUAAAUUAUGGGUUUGAUGAUUGAUGCGAGAAGAAAAGAAGGUGAUGCAGCUGAAGCUGAAUCUGAGAUAGAGUUACUGCUAUUGAUAGGGUUUACAAGAAAGAAACACAGAUUGAGCUAAUGGGUCUGUGGAAUUGGUGGUGGUCUUGAUGGAAUUGCAAACUGGUUGUGGCGUUGCUGCUAUGAAAUGAAAUGGGUUUUGUGCUGAACUGCAGAUAGAAUCAGCUGGAAAUCAAGGAAGGCAGUGAGGUGAGCUUCUGGUGAAAUGGUUGCAGCUACAGAUGGGAAUUGCAGGUGCAUCGGUUGUGUUCAAGCUGAACUGCGGCGCAAGACUCAGGAAAUGGCUUUGGUGAUACUGAAUUGUGGAACUGAAGUUUAAAGGAAUGAAUGUUACAGGUGCCAUGGCUAGGCAGAGAUGAAUUGGUUGUCUGCAUUGGAAGGGAAUUAAUGUGCUUGAAUCAAGUUGUUGCAGUUGAGAUUACAAGCAGUUAAGGUGCAGUUCAAGUGAUACAGAUGAUGCAGGGAUAGAAGAAUGGGCAGUGCUGAAUGAACACAUUGCAGGUGCAUGAAUGGAGGUGCAACUGAAGGCACAUGUGGUACUGGUGUUUGAUGUGUGCAGGUUGCAGUGAUGGUUUGUGGUGAUGUUGUUGGUGUUGCCACAGAUAACAAUGAAUGGCAGGUGAUGGUGGUGAUAUGAGGUUGAUGCUAUGGGUUUGGUUCAUGAUGAAGUUGCAGGUGAACUGAAGUUGUCAUGGGAAAAGAAGCUAAUAGAAGAUAGAGUUGAAGUUGUCUGUAUGAAGUGUUGCUGUUAAGAAGAUGCUAAUGGAAUUGUUGGCAGUGUUGAUGGAAUCUGGUUUGAUUCAGUGGUGGUAGUUUGCUUGAGAACUGAAGCUACAGGGAUUGUAAAUGGAAGUUAGUGUGUAUAUUUUGCCGAGACAGGGAAGAUCACAAACUUGAGUGGUGCUGCCAUUGUAAUACUAAGGUUAACAGGGAGAGAAGGAGUUAUGCAACUGGUAUUGGUGGUUGCAGAUGCUGCAAAGAGUUAGCAGAGAACUGGUGCAACAGUGGGUUGGCCUGUGCAAGAUUGCAAUGGCUCAGGCCUUGGCCACACAACCCAUCCAGCUGAGUAAGAUGCUGACUCGGUCUGACCUUGACCGAGUUGACCCAGUUGACUGGUGACUGGUUUGACUUUGCCGGUCACCUGAGCUCUCUUCGGUCACUUCUCCGGCUAAGUUCCGACCAUUUACCAGUUUUCCGGCGACUACUUUUGGGACAUAUUUCACACGGGUAUUCCUCACAUAUGGGUUCGGUGGACAUCUUUGUAUUGGACUUUGGGCUUUGAAGACCUAGUUUUGGAAAGAGGAAAAGUUACAAAAAGAGAAAGUUUCUACUUCAUUGGAGAACGUAUUUUCCACUUGGAGUAUUGGAGAGCGGCAAUUAGGAUUUGUUUUCUUUUAUUUUUCAUCUUCUUCAUUUUAUUAUUGAUUAUGAUGAACUCAAAAGCUAAGAGUAGCUAAACAACUAUUAUUGGUUAUGGGAUAAAGUUGAUUUCACAACA